GAUGAACGCUGGCGGCGUGCCUAAUACAUGCAAGUCGAGCGAACGGACGAGAAGCUUGCUUCUCUGAUGUUAGCGGCGGACGGGUGAGUAACACGUGGAUAACCUACCUAUAAGACUGGGAUAACUUCGGGAAACCGGAGCUAAUACCGGAUGAUAUUUUGAACCGCAUGGUUCAAAAGUGAAAGACGGUCUUGCUGUCACUUAUAGAUGGAUCCGCGCUGCAUUAGCUAGUUGGUAAGGUAACGGCUUACCAAGGCAACGAUGCAUAGCCGAACUGCGAGGGUGAUCGGCCACACUGGAACUGAGACACGGUCCAGACUCCUACGGGAGGCAGCAGUAGGGAAUCUUCCGCAAUGGGCGAAAGCCUGACGGAGCAACGCCGCGUGAGUGAUGAAGGUCUUCGGAUCGUAAAACUCUGUUAUUAGGGAAGAACAUAUGUGUAAGUAACUGUGCACAUCUUGACGGUACCUAAUCAGAAAGCCACGGCUAACUACGU
RNAcentral lists this ribosomal RNA (496 nucleotides) under uncultured bacterium. Its description in RNAcentral is "partial 16S ribosomal RNA". It matches the Rfam family "Bacterial small subunit ribosomal RNA", at positions 28 to 506 of the family's 1533-position model. The record is from RNAcentral.